Molecule: ribosomal RNA, 254 nt
Filed under: uncultured bacterium
Lineage: Bacteria
Description: partial 16S ribosomal RNA
Rfam family: Bacterial small subunit ribosomal RNA
Source: RNAcentral
UACGUAGGGGCCAAGCGUUGUCCGGAUUUAUUGGGCGUAAAGAGCUCGUAGGCGGUGUGUCGCGUCGGUCGUGAAAACUUGGGGCUUAACCCUGAGCUUGCGGUCGAUACGGGCAUCACUGGAGUUCGGCAGGGGAGACUGGAAUUCCUGGUGUAGCGGUGAAAUGCGCAGAUAUCAGGAGGAACACCGGUGGCGAAGGCGGGUCUCUGGGCCGAUACUGACGCUGAGGAGCGAAAGCGUGGGGAGCGAACAGG